This 46-nucleotide non-coding RNA is filed under the name Schistosoma curassoni. The record is from RNAcentral. Lineage: Eukaryota; Metazoa; Platyhelminthes; Trematoda; Strigeidida; Schistosomatidae.
GCACUGCUGAGGAGUCCCACAAUAGAACAAAACGGCUGUCCAGUAC